Molecule: ribosomal RNA, 253 nt
Filed under: uncultured bacterium
Lineage: Bacteria
Description: partial 16S ribosomal RNA
Rfam family: Bacterial small subunit ribosomal RNA
Source: RNAcentral
UACGUAGGGAGCAAGCGUUGUCCGGAUUUACUGGGUGUAAAGGGUGCGUAGGCGGCCCUGCAAGUCAGAAGUGAAAUCCAUGGGCUUAACCCGUGAACUGCUUUUGAAACUGUAGGGCUUGAGUGAAGUAGAGGCAGGCGGAAUUCCCGGUGUAGCGGUGAAAUGCGUAGAGAUCGGGAGGAGCACCAGUGGCGAAGGCGGCCUGCUGGGCUUUAACUGACGCUGAAGCACGAAAGCGUGGGUAGCAAACAGG